AUCGAACGCUGGCGGCAGGCCUAACACAUGCAAGUCGAGCGAGGACUUCGGUCCUAGCGGCGGACGGGUGAGUAACGCGUGGGAACGUGCCCUUUGCUUCGGAAUAGCCCUGGGAAACUGGGAGUAAUACCGGAUGAGCCCUUUGGGGGAAAGAUUUAUCGGCGAAGGAUCGGCCCGCGUUGGAUUAGGUAGUUGGUGGGGUAAUGGCCUACCAAGCCGACGAUCCAUAGCUGGUUUGAGAGGAUGAUCAGCCACACUGGGACUGAGACACGGCCCAGACUCCUACGGGAGGCAGCAGUGGGGAAUCUUAGACAAUGGGGGAAACCCUGAUCCAGCCAUGCCGCGUGAGCGAUGAAGGCCUUAGGGUUGUAAAGCUCUUUCAGCUGGGAAGAUAAUGACGGUACCAGCAGAAGAAGCCCCGGCUAACUCCGUG
RNAcentral lists this ribosomal RNA (433 nucleotides) under uncultured bacterium. Its description in RNAcentral is "partial 16S ribosomal RNA". It matches the Rfam family "Bacterial small subunit ribosomal RNA", at positions 30 to 507 of the family's 1533-position model. The record is from RNAcentral.